Molecule: long non-coding RNA, 893 nt
Organism: Mercurialis annua (annual mercury)
Lineage: Eukaryota; Viridiplantae; Streptophyta; Magnoliopsida; Malpighiales; Euphorbiaceae
Exons: 2
Source: RefSeq, a predicted model, not a curated record
UUUCUCCUACGUGGCAACCAGGUCGUGUUUUCUUUCCUCUCCCCUCCAAAUCAGCACACACACAUAGGCACAGCACAUUUUAUAUUGCCAUGUCAGCAUCUCUUCCUCCUAAAAUUAAAACCCUAUUUCAAUUAAUUCUUCUUUCUCCCUCAUCUCCAUUCUCGCCGCCGCCUCCACCACCCCUGCUCCAUUCACAUUGUCGUUGCUCUGUUCACGCUUCCAUAGUCUCCACUAGCCUUCUACACUCCCCGCCACUAGGAAUAGGAAGAAUCUAAGAGUGAUGCCGUUGCUCCGAUUGCUGGAACGCCUUUAAUGCUUCUACCGCUGGAAUACCACUAUCGGUCUAAUGGGUUUGUUUGAUGUCGCUUCCAGUCUUAACACUGGUUCGUUAUCUCUCCAUCCACAAAUUCAACGGCUGAGUUAAAUGAUUGUUUUUUAAUCUUGUUCCAUAGUGAGAAAACAAAACUCUCUGGCGUCGCCGGCUGCAAAGAACAAACAGAUAACGGGCCGAGUUACAGGAGGCCGGUGAACGAGUUUAAACUCAAAGUAUAUGCAGAUCGAAUGUCCCAGCCUUCACUUGUAGUUCUCAUCUUAUGCAAAGCUUGCAUUUGAAUGGUUUUUUGGAAGCUGAAAUCAACCCAGCUGAUGCAGGGAACCCAGUUGGUGAUAAACAAAUUGUUAGUUAAGUGAAAAGAUAAUUGAUUUAAAUUAUCACAUUCUACCUUUAGUAUUGAAAAUUAUAGUGCUGGACAUCCAUCAUGUUGUGAUUUUGAUAUUUGUAUGUAAAAUAUAUUUUAGGAGUUAUUGUUGAAUGGUAAAUUUGAGAUUUUAAAAAGAAUUCUAAGUUUAUGUUUGGUGUUUAAUGGAAGAAUUCUAGAUUUAAUCUUGGGGAA